RNAcentral lists this ribosomal RNA (803 nucleotides) under uncultured Arthrobacter sp. RNAcentral describes it as "partial 16S ribosomal RNA". It matches the Rfam family "Bacterial small subunit ribosomal RNA", at positions 1 to 779 of the family's 1533-position model. Lineage: Bacteria; Bacillati; Actinomycetota; Actinomycetes; Micrococcales; Micrococcaceae. The record is from RNAcentral.
CGAUGGGCCGACGUCGCAUGCUCCCGGCCGCCAUGGUUAGAGUUUGAUCAUGGCUCAGGAUGAACGCUGGCGGCGUGCUUAACACAUGCAAGUCGAACGAUGACUUCUGUGCUUGCACAGAAUGAUUAGUGGCGAACGGGUGAGUAACACGUGAGUAACCUGCCCUUGACUUCGGGAUAAGCCUGGGAAACCGGGUCUAAUACCGGAUACGACCUCCUGGCGCAUGCCAUGGGGGUGGAAAGCUUUAUUGCGGUUUUGGAUGGACUCGCGGCCUAUCAGCUUGUUGGUUGGGGUAAUGGCCCACCAAGGCGACGACGGGUAGCCGGCCUGAGAGGGUGACCGGCCACACUGGGACUGAGACACGGCCCAGACUCCUACGGGAGGCAGCAGUGGGGAAUAUUGCACAAUGGGCGAAAGCCUGAUGCAGCGACGCCGCGUGAGGGAUGACGGCCUUCGGGUUGUAAACCUCUUUCAGCAGGGAAGAAGCGAAAGUGACGGUACCUGCGGAAGAAGCGCCGGCUAACUACGUGCCAGCAGCCGCGGUAAUACGUAGGGCGCAAGCGUUGUCCGGAAUUAUUGGGCGUAAAGAGCUUGUAGGUGGCUUGUCGCGUCUGCCGUGAAAACCCGAGGCUCAACCUCGGGCGUGCGGUGGGUACGGGCAGGCUAGAGUGUGGUAGGGGAGACUGGAACUCCUGGUGUAGCGGUGAAAUGCGCAGAUAUCAGGAAGAACACCGAUGGCGAAGGCAGGUCUCUGGGCCAUUACUGACAUUGAAAAGCGAAAGCAUGGGGUAGCGAACGGGAUU